UGAUGCACGACCUCGACCUCGACAUGCUCCCCUUCGUCGGGGAGGCGCUCACCACGCUUCGCAAGGAGGUGGGCGACGAGGCCGCGGUGCUCGGAUUCGUCGGCGCGCCCUGGACCCUCGCCACCUACAUCGUCGAGGGCGGCAGCUCCUCCACGUACAAGACGAUCAAGUCCAUGACCAUGACGGAGCCCGAGGUUCUCAAGUCGAUCCUGAGCAAGGUUGCGGACGCCGUGGGCGACUACGUCGGGUACCAGAUCGACGCGGGCGCGCAGUGCGUGCAGAUCUUCGACUCCUGGG
This 297-nucleotide long non-coding RNA is filed under the name Micromonas commoda. RNAcentral's name for it is "long non-coding RNA (MCOM_LNC000382)". Lineage: Eukaryota; Viridiplantae; Chlorophyta; Mamiellophyceae; Mamiellales; Mamiellaceae. The record is from RNAcentral.